GACGUAGGAUGCAAGCGUUGUCCGGAUUUAUUGGGCGUAAAGAGUUCGUAGGUGGUUCGUUAAGUCUGAUGUUAAAGACUGGGGCUCAACCCUGGAAGUGCAUUGGAUACUGGCGGACUUGAGUGUGGUAGAGGCAAUCGGAAUUCCAGGUGUAGCGGUGAAAUGCGUAGAUAUCUGGAAGAACACCGGUGGCGCAAGCGGAUUGCUGGGCCAUAACUGACGCUGAGGUGCGAAAGCGUGGGGAGCAAACAGG
This 253-nucleotide ribosomal RNA is filed under the name uncultured bacterium. RNAcentral describes it as "partial 16S ribosomal RNA". It matches the Rfam family "Bacterial small subunit ribosomal RNA", at positions 524 to 776 of the family's 1533-position model. The record is from RNAcentral.